RNAcentral lists this ribosomal RNA (460 nucleotides) under uncultured bacterium. RNAcentral's name for it is "partial 16S ribosomal RNA". It matches the Rfam family "Bacterial small subunit ribosomal RNA", at positions 338 to 795 of the family's 1533-position model. The record is from RNAcentral.
CCUACGGGAGGUAGCAGUGAGGAAUCUUGGUCAAUGGACGAGAGUCUGAACCAGCCAAGUAGCGUGAAGGAUGACUGCCCUAUGGGUUGUAAACUUCUUUUAUAAAGGAAUAAAACGAGGCACGUGUGCCUUUUUGCAUGUACUUUAUGAAUAAGGAUCGGCUAACUCCGUGCCAGCAGCCGCGGUAAUACGGAGGAUCCGCGCGUUAUCCGGAUGUAUUGGGUUUAAAGGGAGCGUAGAUGGGUUGUUAAGUCAGUUGUGAAAGUUUGCGGCUCAACCGGAAAAUUGCAAUUGAUACUGGCAGUCUUGAGUACAGUUGAGGUAGGCGGAAUUCGUGGUGUAGCGGUGAAAUGCUUAGAUAUCACGAAGAACCCCGAUUGCGAAGGCAGCUUACUAAACUGUGACUGACAUUGAUGCUCGAAAGUGUGGGUAUCAAACAGGAUUAGAUACCCCAGUAGUC